Molecule: ribosomal RNA, 639 nt
Filed under: uncultured Acidithiobacillus sp.
Lineage: Bacteria; Pseudomonadati; Pseudomonadota; Acidithiobacillia; Acidithiobacillales; Acidithiobacillaceae
Description: bacterial SSU rRNA
Rfam family: Bacterial small subunit ribosomal RNA
Source: RNAcentral
GCAGUCGGACGGCAGCAGGUCCUUCGGGAUGCUGGCGAGUGGCGGACGGGUGAGUAAUGCGUAGGAACCUAUCCUUUUGUGGGGGACAACCCAGGGAAACUUGGGCUAAUACCGCAUAAGCCCUGAGGGGGAAAGCGGGGGAUCUUCGGACCUCGUGCUGAAGGAGGGGCCUACGUCCGAUUAGCUAGUUGGUGGGGUAAAGGCCUACCAAGGCGACGAUCGGUAGCUGGUCUGAGAGGACGACCAGCCACACUGGGACUGAGACACGGCCCAGACUCCUACGGGAGGCAGCAGUGGGGAAUUUUUCGCAAUGGGGGCAACCCUGACGAAGCAAUGCCGCGUGGAUGAAGAAGGCCUUCGGGUUGUAAAGUUCUUUCGUGGGAGACGAAAAGGCAAGCGCUAAUAUCGUUUGCUGUUGACGUGAACCCAAGAAGAAGCACCGGCUAACUCCGUGCCAGCAGCCGCGGUAAUACGGAGGGUGCGAGCGUUAAUCGGAAUCACUGGGCGUAAAGGGCGCGUAGGCGGUUAGUUACGUCUGCCGUGAAAUCCCCGGGCUCAACCUGGGAAUGGCGGUGGAAACGGGCUGACUAGAGUAUGGGAGAGGGUGAUGGAAUUCCAGGUGUAGCGGUGAAAUGCGUA